Molecule: ribosomal RNA, 253 nt
Filed under: uncultured bacterium
Lineage: Bacteria
Description: partial 16S ribosomal RNA
Rfam family: Bacterial small subunit ribosomal RNA
Source: RNAcentral
UACGAAGGGAGCUAGCGUUACUCGGAAUUACUGGGCGUAAAGCGUGCGCAGGCUGUUUUAUAAGUUAGAAGUGAAAGCCUGGAGCUCAACUCCAGAAUUGCUUUUAAAACUGUAAGACUAGAGGGUCAGAGGGGAUAGCGGAAUUCCUAGUGUAGAGGUGAAAUUCGUAGAUAUUAGGAGGAACACCGGUGGCGAAAGCGGCUAUCUGGCUGACAACUGACGCUGUUGCACGAAAGCGUGGGGAGCAAACAGG